AACGGUCUAUACCUGCGGUACCUGCGGAAGGAUCAUUAUUGAUUUUAACAGGAUGUGCUGGCUCUCAAAGGGGGCAAUGUGCACUCCUAAUAAAACCAAUAUCCACCUGUGCACCUUAAGUAGACUAGUAGGACUCAUCACAGUCUUUCCAGUCUAUGUUCCUUCACAAACCUUUUUUGAAAUGUAAAUGAAUGAUCAUAUGUAUAAUUAAUAACAACUUUUAACAACGGAUCUCUAGAU
This 240-nucleotide unclassified non-coding RNA is filed under the name soil metagenome. RNAcentral describes it as "partial contains 5.8S ribosomal RNA, internal transcribed spacer 2, and large subunit ribosomal RNA". The record is from RNAcentral.